RNAcentral lists this ribosomal RNA (406 nucleotides) under uncultured bacterium. Its description in RNAcentral is "partial 16S ribosomal RNA". It matches the Rfam family "Bacterial small subunit ribosomal RNA", at positions 29 to 526 of the family's 1533-position model. The record is from RNAcentral.
AUUGAACGCUGGCGGCAGGCCUAACACAUGCAAGUCGAGCGAGCGGCGCACGGGUGAGUAAUGUCUGGGAAACUGCCCGAUGGCGGGGGAUAACUACUGGAAACGGUAGCUAAUACCGCAUACCAUCAGAUGUGCCCAGAUGGGAUUAGCUAGUAGGUGGGGUAACGGCUCACCUAGGCGACGAUCCCUAGCUGGUCUGAGAGGAUGACCAGCCACACUGGUACGGGGAUACGGUCCAGACUCCUACGGGAGGCAGCAGUGGGGAAUAUUGGACAAGGGGCGCAAGCCUGAUGCGGCCAUGCCGCGUGUGUGAAGAAGGCCUUCGGGUUGUAAAGCACGUUCAGCGGGGAGGCGUUACCCGCAGAAGAAGCACCGGCUAACUCCGUGCCAGCAGCCGCGGUAAUAC